AUGGCGGACCAGCUCACCGACGACCAGAUCGCCGAGUUCAAGGAGGCUUUCAGCCUCUUCGACAAGGAUGGGGACGUAUUGGUCAACGAUCGACCAGGAACUAUCUGUUGGAUCGUUCUCUGUUUUGAGGGAUCUCGGGUCUCGAUUCCUGGUUGCAUUACCACCAAGGAGCUGGGAACUGUCAUGCGUUCCCUGGGGCAGAAUCCCACUGAGGCAGAGCUUCAAGACAUGAUCAAUGAGGUGGAUGCUGACGGCAAUGGAACAAUUGAUUUCCCUGAAUUCCUCAACCUUAUGGCCCGCAAGAUGAAGGACACUGAUUCUGAGGAAGAGCUCAAGGAGGCAUUCCGUGUGUUUGACAAGGAUCAAAAUGGUUUUAUCUCUGCUGCUGAACUGCGCCAUGUCAUGACCAACCUUGGUGAGAAGUUGACUGAUGAGGAGGUUGACGAGAUGGUCCGUGAGGCUGAUGUUGAUGGUGAUGGCCAGAUCAACUAUGACGAAUUUGUUAAAGUCAUGAUGGCCAAGUAA
RNAcentral lists this ribosomal RNA (525 nucleotides) under Triticum aestivum (bread wheat). RNAcentral describes it as "partial small subunit ribosomal RNA". Lineage: Eukaryota; Viridiplantae; Streptophyta; Magnoliopsida; Poales; Poaceae. The record is from RNAcentral.